AACGAACGCUGGCGGCAUGCCUAACACAUGCAAGUCGAACGAGACCUUCGGGUCUAGUGGCGCACGGGUGCGUAACGCGUGGGAAUCUGCCCCUUGGUUCGGAAUAACAGUUAGAAAUGACUGCUAAUACCGGAUGAUGACGAAAGUCCAAAGAUUUAUCGCCGAGGGAUGAGCCCGCGUAGGAUUAGCUAGUUGGUGAGGUAAAGGCUCACCAAGGCGACGAUCCUUAGCUGGUCUGAGAGGAUGAUCAGCCACACUGGGACUGAGACACGGCCCAGACUCCUACGGGAGGCAGCAGUGGGGAAUAUUGGACAAUGGGCGAAAGCCUGAUCCAGCAAUGCCGCGUGAGUGAUGAAGGCCUUAGGGUCGUAAAGCUCUUUUACCAGGGAUGAUAAUGACAGUACCUGGAGAAUAAGCUCCGGCUAAACUCCGUGCCAGCAGCCGCGGUAAGAGUGUGUGUA
RNAcentral lists this ribosomal RNA (461 nucleotides) under uncultured bacterium. RNAcentral describes it as "bacterial SSU rRNA". It matches the Rfam family "Bacterial small subunit ribosomal RNA", at positions 29 to 533 of the family's 1533-position model. The record is from RNAcentral.